ACUUCUUCUCCCUAGGUACAAACAUUUGUUAAGUGUUAGCUUGGCUGGCUGCUUGGCUGUAAAACAACAGAAUAUUAAACAACCCUACUGAUUUCUUUCCUCUAUGGUUGGUUUUGUGACUUUUGUUGGAUUACAGUUGACCCUCUCUGAAAUGUUUUGUGAUAGGAUAAUGUAUAAAGGAUUUCAGAUAAAAGUUACUGAAUGAGGAGAUCCUCCACACACACGGUGCAUCCAUGGUCUGCAGGCUGAAAUCUCUCAAAGAUGGGGAAACCAAACUGCUGUGAUGCUGCCAAGAUCACUGGGCUGAUUUGUCUUGAUUUUUCUUGCAGACUUGGCUAGCAAAGUACCAUGGUGCUGGAAGGUGUUCUUCCUUUCGUCAGUUACUCUAUCAAAUCACUUCUAAGGGCUCUCAUAUGAUGCAGCACAAGAAGCAUGGCCCAACACUUUGGUCUGAGUCUAAGGACUUGUCUACACUUACCGGGUGAUCCACGUGUGGCGACCGAUGCAUCAGCAGUUGAUUUAGCGGGUCUAGUGAAGACCCGCUAAAUCGACUGAAGUGGCAUUCCUGUCAACUCCUGUACUCCACC
Long non-coding RNA from Chelonia mydas (Green sea turtle), 587 nucleotides. RefSeq lists it as uncharacterized. Lineage: Eukaryota; Metazoa; Chordata; Testudines; Cheloniidae. The record is from RefSeq and is a predicted model, not a curated record. The transcript is spliced from 5 exons.